UGGGGAAUAUUGCACAAUGGGCGAAAGCCUGAUGCAGCGACGCCGCGUGAGGGAUGACGGCCUUCGGGUUGUAAACCUCUUUCAGUAGGGACGAAGCGCAAGUGACGGUACCUACAGAAGAAGCACCGGCCAACUACGUGCCAGCAGCCGCGGUAAUACGUAGGGUGCGAGCGUUGUCCGGAUUCACUGGGCGUAAAGAGCUCGUAGGCGGUUUGUCACGUCGUCUGUGAAAACCCGAGGCUUAACCUCGGGCCUGCAGGCGAUACGGGCAGACUUGAGUACUGUAGGGGAGACUGGAAUUCCUGUUGUAGCGGUGGAAUGCGCAGAUAUCAGGAGGAACACCGGUGGCGAAGGCGGGUCUCUGGGCAGUAACUGACGCUGAGGAGCGAAAGCGUGGGUAGCGAACAG
Molecule: ribosomal RNA, 408 nt
Filed under: bacterium
Lineage: Bacteria
Description: partial 16S ribosomal RNA
Rfam family: Bacterial small subunit ribosomal RNA
Source: RNAcentral